UUUCCUACGGGUGGCUGCAGUGGGGAAUUUUGGACAAUGGGCGCAAGCCUGAUCCAGCAAUGCCGCGUGUGUGACGAAGGCCUUCGGGUUGUAAAGCACUUUUGUUCGGGAAGAAAUCCGCCGGGCUAAUAUCCUGGCGGGAUGACGGUACCGGAAGAAUAAGCACCGGCUAACUACGUGCCAGCAGCCGCGGUAAUACGUAGGGUGCGAGCGUUAAUCGGAAUUACUGGGCGUAAAGCGUGCGCAGGCGGCGCUGUAAGACAGAUGUGAAAUCCCCGGGCUCAACCUGGGAACUGCAUUGGUGACUGCAGUGCUAGAGUGUGUCAGAGGGGGGUGGAAUUCCACGUGUAGCAGUGAAAUGCGUAGAGAUGUGGAGGAACACCGAUGGCGAAGGCAGCCCCCUGGGAUAACACUGACGCUCAGGCACGAAAGCGUGGGGAGCAAACAGGAUUAGAUACCCCUGUAGUCC
This 469-nucleotide ribosomal RNA is filed under the name uncultured Comamonadaceae bacterium. RNAcentral's name for it is "bacterial SSU rRNA". It matches the Rfam family "Bacterial small subunit ribosomal RNA", at positions 335 to 796 of the family's 1533-position model. Lineage: Bacteria; Pseudomonadati; Pseudomonadota; Betaproteobacteria; Burkholderiales; Comamonadaceae. The record is from RNAcentral.